RNAcentral lists this long non-coding RNA (644 nucleotides) under Nicotiana tabacum (common tobacco). Its description in RNAcentral is "long non-coding RNA (NTAB_LNC010332)". Lineage: Eukaryota; Viridiplantae; Streptophyta; Magnoliopsida; Solanales; Solanaceae. The record is from RNAcentral.
GGUAGCAUUCUCGAGCUUCUUCGGCCAAUCAGCAUUAUGGUUUUAAACCCUAAACUGAAUUUUCCUUUCAGCCAGCAUUAGAGUUUUAAACUCUAAACUGAGCUUUUCCAUGCAAUCAGCAUUAGGGUUUUAAACCCUAAACUGAAUUUUCCUUUCAGCCAACAUUAGAGUUUUAAACUCUAAACUGAGCUUUUUCCAUGCAAUCAGCAUUAGGGUUUUAAACCUUAAACUGAAUUUUCCUUUUAGUCAGCAUUAGGGUUUUAAACCCUAAACUGAAUUUUCCUUUUAGUCAGCGUUAGGGUUUUAAACCCUAAACUGAAUUUUCCUUUUAGUCAGCGUUAGGGUUUUAAACCCUAAACUGAAUUUUCCUUUCAGCCAGCAUUAGAGUUUUAAACUUUAAACUGAGCUUUUCCAUGCAAUCAGCAUUAGGGUUUUAAACCCUAAACUGAAUUUUCCUUUCAGCCAACAUUGGAGUUUUAAACUCUAAACUGAGCUUUUCCAUGCAAUCAGCAUUAGGGUUUUAAACCCUAAACUGAAUUUUCCUUUCAGCCAGCAUUAGAGUUUUAAACUCUAAACUGAGCUUUUCCAUGCAAUCAGCAUUAGGGUUUUAAACCCUAAACUGAAUUUUUCUUUCAGCCAACAUU